Oncorhynchus keta (chum salmon) is the source of this 429-nucleotide long non-coding RNA. RefSeq lists it as uncharacterized. The record is from RefSeq and is a predicted model, not a curated record. The transcript is spliced from 3 exons. NCBI's taxonomy places the organism in Eukaryota, Metazoa, Chordata, Actinopteri, Salmoniformes, Salmonidae.
CAGGAGUCCUAGUAGGGAGAACAUGGUCCAGGUGUCUGGAGUCCUAGUAGGGAGAACAUGGUCCAGGUGUCAGGAGUCCUAGUAGGGAGAACAUGGUCCAGGUGUCUGUAGUUCUAGUAGGGAGAACAUGGUCCCGGUGUCUGUAGUUCUAGUAGGGAGAACAUGGUCCAGGUGUCAGUAGUCCUAGUAGUGAGAACAUGGUCCCGGUGUCAGUAGUCCUAGUAGUGAGAACAUGGUCCAGGUGUCAGGAGUCCUAGUAGGGAGAACAUGGUCCCGGUGUCAGGAGUCCCAGUAGUGAGAACAUGGUCCCGGUGUCAGGAGUCCCAGUAGUGAGAACAUGGUCCCGGUGUCUGUAGUCCUAGUAGGGAGAACAUGGUCCAGGUGUCAGUAGUCCUAGUAGGGAGAACAUGGUCCAGGUGUCAGGAGUCC